RNAcentral lists this small nuclear RNA (147 nucleotides) under Canis lupus familiaris (dog). RNAcentral's name for it is "U2 spliceosomal RNA (ENSCAFG00000028243.3, ENSCAFG00030014433.1)". It matches the Rfam family "U2 spliceosomal RNA". Rfam says of the family: U2 is a small nuclear RNA (snRNA) component of the spliceosome (involved in pre-mRNA splicing). Complementary binding between U2 snRNA (in an area lying towards the 5' end but 3' to hairpin I) and the branchpoint sequence (BPS) of the intron results the bulging out of an unpaired adenosine, on the BPS, which initiates a nucleophilic attack at the intronic 5' splice site, thus starting the first of two transesterification reactions that mediate splicing. Lineage: Eukaryota; Metazoa; Chordata; Mammalia; Carnivora; Canidae. RNAcentral also lists the same sequence under 1 other name. The record is from RNAcentral.
AUCGCUUCUCGGCCUUUUGGCUAAGAUCAAGUGUAGUAUCUGAAAGUUACCAAUGGUAGGGAAAGGAAGGUCAGGAGGGAACUAGCUUUUCCUGUGCUUUUCACAUCAGAAGACACAAUCAAAAUUAUUUUUCAUCAUACAACAAAU